GGGUUGUGAGGUUAAGCGACUAAGCGUACACGGUGGAUGCCCAGGCAGUCAGAG
Molecule: ribosomal RNA, 54 nt
Filed under: Pantoea sp. EKM10T
Lineage: Bacteria; Pseudomonadati; Pseudomonadota; Gammaproteobacteria; Enterobacterales; Erwiniaceae
Description: partial 23S ribosomal RNA
Source: RNAcentral